RNAcentral lists this ribosomal RNA (505 nucleotides) under uncultured bacterium. Its description in RNAcentral is "partial 16S ribosomal RNA". It matches the Rfam family "Bacterial small subunit ribosomal RNA", at positions 28 to 507 of the family's 1533-position model. The record is from RNAcentral.
GACGAACGCUGGCGGCGUGCCUAAUACAUGCAAGUAGAACGCACAGUUUAUACCGUAGCUUGCUACACCAUAGACUGUGAGUUGCGAACGGGUGAGUAACGCGUAGGUAACCUGCCUGGUAGCGGGGGAUAACUAUUGGAAACGAUAGCUAAUGCCGCAUAAUAUUGAUUAUUGCAUGAUAAUUAAUUGAAAGGUGCAAUUGCACCACUACCAGAUGGACCUGCGUUGUAUUAGCUAGUAGGUGAGGUAACGGCUCACCUAGGCGACGAUACAUAGCCGACCUGAGAGGGUGAUCGGCCACACUGGGACUGAGACAAGGCCCAGACUCCUACGGGAGGCAGCAGUAGGGAAUCUUCGGCAAUGGACGAAAGUCUGACCGAGCAACGCCGCGUGAGGGAAGAAGGUUUUCGGAUCGUAAAGCUCUGUUGUAAGAGAAGAACGGGUGUGAGAGUGGAAAGUUCACACUGUGACGGUAUCUUACCAGAAAGGGACGGCUAACUACGUG